GGGAAGUUGGCUCAGUGGUAGAGUGCUUGCCUUGCAUGCAUGAGGCCCUGGGUUUGAUUCCUCAGCAUCACA
Molecule: transfer RNA, 72 nt
Filed under: Dipodomys ordii (Ord's kangaroo rat)
Lineage: Eukaryota; Metazoa; Chordata; Mammalia; Rodentia; Heteromyidae
Rfam family: tRNA
About the family: Transfer RNA (tRNA) molecules are approximately 80 nucleotides in length. Their secondary structure includes four short double-helical elements and three loops (D, anti-codon, and T loops).
Source: Rfam by way of RNAcentral